UAGGGAAUCUUCCGCAAUGGGCGAAAGCCUGACGGAGCAAUGCCGCGUGAACGAUGAAGGCCUUCGGGUCGUAAAGUUCUGUUGUGGGGGAAGAAAUCACUUUUGGAUAAUACCCAAGAGUGUUUGACGGUACUCCACGAGGAAGCCCCGGCUAAUUACGUGCCAGCAGCCGCGGUAAUACGUAAGGGGCAAGCGUUGUCCGGAAUCACUGGGCGUAAAGCGCACGUAGGCGGUUUAGCAAGUUAGGGGUGCAAGCUCCAGGCUUAACCUGGAAACUGCCUCUAAAACUACUUCACUUGAGUAUUAGAGGGGAAGCUGGAAUUCACGGUGUAGCGGUGAAAUGCGUAGAUAUCGUGGAGAACACCCGUGGCGAAGGCGGGCUUCUGGCUAAUAACUGACGCUGAGGUGCGAAAGCUAGGGGAGCGAACGG
This 430-nucleotide ribosomal RNA is filed under the name uncultured bacterium. RNAcentral's name for it is "bacterial SSU rRNA". It matches the Rfam family "Bacterial small subunit ribosomal RNA", at positions 355 to 775 of the family's 1533-position model. The record is from RNAcentral.